This 582-nucleotide ribosomal RNA is filed under the name Triticum aestivum (bread wheat). Its description in RNAcentral is "partial small subunit ribosomal RNA". The record is from RNAcentral. Lineage: Eukaryota; Viridiplantae; Streptophyta; Magnoliopsida; Poales; Poaceae.
GUCUUGAAUUGGGAGAAGUGCCACUUUAUGGUUAAUGAAGGUAUUGUCUUGGGACAUAAAGUUUCUGAAAGAGGUAUUGAAGUUGAUAAAGCCAAGGUUGAUGCUAUUGAAAAGAUGCCAUGUCCCAAGGACAUCAAAGGUAUAAGAAGUUUCCUUGGUCACACCGGUUUUUAUAGGAGGUUCAUUAAGGACUUCUCAAAAAUUUCUCGACCUCUGACUAAUUUAUUACAAAAAGAUGUACCAUUUGUCUUUGAUGAUGAUUGUGUAGAAGCAUUUGAAAUACUUAAGAAAGCAUUGGUCUCUGCACCUAUUGUUCAGCCACCUGAUUGGAAUUUACCCUUUGAAAUCAUGUGUGAUGCUAGUGAUUAUGCUGUAGGUGCUAUUCUAGGGAAAAGAGUUGAUAAGAAAUUAAAUGUUAUCCAAUAUGCUAGUAAAACUCUAGAUAAUGCUCAGAGAAAUUAUGCUACUACUGAAAAAGAAUUCUUAGCAGUUGUAUUUGCUUGUGCUAAGUUCAGAUCUUAUACUGUUGAUUCUAAAGUAACUAUUCGCACGAAUCAUGCUGCUAUUAAAUAUCUUAUGGAA